GCGGGUAUAACUCAGUGGUAGAGUGUCAGCCUUCCAAGCUGUUCGUCGUCGGUUCGAAUCCGUCUACCCGCUCAA
Molecule: transfer RNA, 75 nt
Filed under: Pseudomonadota bacterium
Lineage: Bacteria; Pseudomonadati; Pseudomonadota
Also listed under: 1 other name
Description: Proteobacteria bacterium tRNA-Gly
Rfam family: tRNA
About the family: Transfer RNA (tRNA) molecules are approximately 80 nucleotides in length. Their secondary structure includes four short double-helical elements and three loops (D, anti-codon, and T loops).
Source: RNAcentral